AUAACAAUACAGGACUUUUUCCAGGCCCUGUAAUUGGAAUGAGUACACUUUAAAUCCUUUAACGAGAAUCUAUUGGAGGGCAAGUCUGGUGCAGAGUGACUGACCCGUGCGUGCUGCAGCUGAAA
RNAcentral lists this ribosomal RNA (125 nucleotides) under Pelobates cultripes (western spadefoot toad). RNAcentral describes it as "SSU_rRNA_eukarya". It matches the Rfam family "Eukaryotic small subunit ribosomal RNA", at positions 477 to 582 of the family's 1831-position model. Lineage: Eukaryota; Metazoa; Chordata; Amphibia; Anura; Pelobatidae. The record is from RNAcentral.